AUUGAACGCUGGCGGCAGGCCUAACACAUGCAAGUCGAACGAGUGGCGGACGGGUGAGUAAUGUCUGGGAAACUGCCUGAUGGAGGGGGAUAACUACUGGAAACGGUAGCUAAUACCGCAUACCAUCAGAUGUGCCCAGAUGGGAUUAGCUAGUUGGUGGGGUAAAGGCUCACCAAGGCGACGAUCCCUAGCUGGUCUGAGAGGAUGACCAGCCACAAUGGAAAUGAGACACGGUCCAGAAUCCUACGGGAGGCAGAAUUGGGGAAUAUUGCACAAUGGGCGCAAGCCUGAUGCAGCCAUGCCGCGUGGAUGAAGAAGGGCUUCGGGUUGUAAAGUAAUUUCAGCGGGGAGGCGUUACCCGCAGAAGAAGCACCGGCUAACUCCGUGCCAGGCGGCGCGGUAAUUC
RNAcentral lists this ribosomal RNA (406 nucleotides) under uncultured bacterium. RNAcentral describes it as "partial 16S ribosomal RNA". It matches the Rfam family "Bacterial small subunit ribosomal RNA", at positions 30 to 526 of the family's 1533-position model. The record is from RNAcentral.